This 639-nucleotide ribosomal RNA is filed under the name Weissella minor. Its description in RNAcentral is "bacterial SSU rRNA". It matches the Rfam family "Bacterial small subunit ribosomal RNA", at positions 48 to 673 of the family's 1533-position model. Lineage: Bacteria; Bacillati; Bacillota; Bacilli; Lactobacillales; Lactobacillaceae. The record is from RNAcentral.
CACUGAUAUGAAGAGCUUGCUCGGAUUUGAAGAUGAACAUUGCAAAGAGUGGCGAACGGGUGAGUAACACGUGGGAAACCUACCUCUUAGCGGGGGAUAACACUUGGAAACAAGUGCUAAUACCGCAUAAUACUGAUAACCGCAUGGUUAUCAGUUGAAAGAUGGUUCUGCUAUCACUAAGAGAUGGUCCCGCGGUGUAUUAGCUAGUUGGUAAGGUAAUGGCUUACCAAGGCAAUGAUACAUAGCCGAGUUGAGAGACUGAUCGGCCACAAUGGGACUGAGACACGGCCCAUACUCCUACGGGAGGCAGCAGUAGGGAAUCUUCCACAAUGGACGAAAGUCUGAUGGAGCAACGCCGCGUGUGUGAUGAAGGGUUUCGGCUCGUAAAACACUGUUGUAAGAGAAGAAUGACAUUGAGAGUAACUGUUCAGUGUGUGACGGUAUCUUACCAGAAAGGAACGGCUAAAUACGUGCCAGCAGCCGCGGUAAUACGUAUGUUCCAAGCGUUAUCCGGAUUUAUUGGGCGUAAAGCGAGCGCAGACGGUUGUUUAAGUCUGAAGUGAAAGCCCACAGCUUAACUGUGGAAGUGCUUUGGAAACUGGAUAACUUGAGUGCAGUAGAGGAGAGUGGAACUCCAUG